CUCAGGAUGAACGCUGGCGGCGUGCCUAAUACAUGCAAGUCGAGCGAACUGAUUAGAAGCUUGCUUCUAUGACGUUAGCGGCGGACGGGUGAGUAACACGUGGGCAACCUGCCUGUAAGACUGGGAUAACUUCGGGAAACCGAAGCUAAUACCGGAUAGGAUCUUCUCCUUCAUGGGAGAUGAUUGAAAGAUGGUUUCGGCUAUCACUUACAGAUGGGCCCGCGGUGCAUUAGCUAGUUGGUGAGGUAACGGCUCACCAAGGCAACGAUGCAUAGCCGACCUGAGAGGGUGAUCGGCCACACUGGGACUGAGACACGGCCCAGACUCCUACGGGAGGCAGCAGUAGGGAAUCUUCCGCAAUGGACGAAAGUCUGACGGAGCAACGCCGCGUGAGUGAUGAAGGCUUUCGGGUCGUAAAACUCUGUUGUUAGGGAAGAACAAGUACGAGAGUAACUGCUCANNNUANGUACCUUGACGGUACCUAACCAGAAAGCCACGGCUAACUACGUGCCAGCA
Molecule: ribosomal RNA, 516 nt
Filed under: Bacillus sp. (in: firmicutes)
Lineage: Bacteria; Bacillati; Bacillota; Bacilli; Caryophanales; Bacillaceae
Description: bacterial SSU rRNA
Rfam family: Bacterial small subunit ribosomal RNA
Source: RNAcentral